Molecule: ribosomal RNA, 541 nt
Filed under: uncultured bacterium
Lineage: Bacteria
Description: bacterial SSU rRNA
Rfam family: Bacterial small subunit ribosomal RNA
Source: RNAcentral
GGAAUAUUGGACAAUGGGCGAAAGCCUGAUCCAGCAAUGCCGCGUGAGUGAUGAAGGCCUUAGGGUUGUAAAGCUCCUUUACCAGGGAUGAUAAUGACAGUACCUGGAGAAUAAGCUCCGGCUAACUCCGUGCCAGCAGCCGCGGUAAUACGGAGGGAGCUAGCGUUGUUCGGAAUUACUGGGCGUAAAGCGUACGUAGGCGGUUAUUCAAGUCAGAGGUGAAAGCCUGGAGCUCAACUCCAGAACUGCCUUUGAAACUAGAUAGCUAGAAUCUUGGAGAGGUGAGUGGAAUUCCGAGUGUAGAGGUGAAAUUCGUAGAUAUUCGGAAGAACACCAGUGGCGAAGGCGACUCACUGGACAAGUAUUGACGCUGAGGUACGAAAGCGUGGGGAGCAAACAGGAUUAGAUACCCUGGUAGUCCACGCCGUAAACGAUGAUAACUAGCUGUUCGGGCCCUACGAGCUUGAGUGGCGCAGCUAACGCAUUAAGUUAUCCGCCUGGGGAGUACGGUCGCAAGAUUAAAACUCAAAGGAAUUGACGG